Molecule: transfer RNA, 69 nt
Filed under: Rattus norvegicus (Norway rat)
Lineage: Eukaryota; Metazoa; Chordata; Mammalia; Rodentia; Muridae
Rfam family: tRNA
About the family: Transfer RNA (tRNA) molecules are approximately 80 nucleotides in length. Their secondary structure includes four short double-helical elements and three loops (D, anti-codon, and T loops).
Source: Rfam by way of RNAcentral
GGGGAUUUAGCUCAGUGGUAGAGCGCUUGCCUAGGAAGCGCAAGGUUCUGGGUUCGGUCCCCAGCUCCG